UACUGAGACGCGACAAAGAUUACACUCAAGAAACGGUUAUCAACUAACAAUUAUCAGAAAUCUCUGCAUUCGAAAUGGAUUCAACGAAGAUACCUCCUUCGUUCUUAAAAUUUAUUGGAGAAGAUAUUGUGUUUUUGACCAUACCAUCUGACUUUGCAACUAAUCUGUGGGGAGAUAAAGUCCCCUAUGGUAAAACAGUACAAAUAAGAGAUGGUGGCAGUUUGAGGUUUGUAAGGAUCAGAAACAGAAAUGGAGAACCUAUAUUUACUGACGGAUGGAUUAUGUU
Long non-coding RNA from Helianthus annuus (common sunflower), 286 nucleotides. RefSeq lists it as uncharacterized. Lineage: Eukaryota; Viridiplantae; Streptophyta; Magnoliopsida; Asterales; Asteraceae. The transcript has 3 exons. The record is from RefSeq and is a predicted model, not a curated record.